Molecule: ribosomal RNA, 1286 nt
Filed under: metagenome
Description: bacterial SSU rRNA
Rfam family: Bacterial small subunit ribosomal RNA
Source: RNAcentral
AGCUUGUUGGUGAGGUAAAAGCUCACCAAGGCGACGAUCUGUAGCGGGUCUGAGAGGAUGAUCCGCCACACUGGAACUGAGACACGGUCCAGACUCCUACGGGAGGCAGCAGUGGGGAAUUUUGGACAAUGGGGGCAACCCUGAUCCAGCCAUGCCGCGUGAGUGAAGAAGGCCUUCGGGUUGUAAAGCUCUUUCAGCCGGGAAGAAAACGCAUGGGUUAAUACCCUGUGUGGAUGACGGUACCGGAAUAAGAAGCACCGGCUAACUACGUGCCAGCAGCCGCGGUAAUACGUAGGGUGCGAGCGUUAAUCGGAAUUACUGGGCGUAAAGCGUGCGCAGGCGGUUUUGUAAGACAGGCGUGAAAUCCCCGGGCUUAACCUGGGAACUGCGUUUGUGACUGCAAGGCUAGAGUACGGCAGAGGGGGGUGGAAUUCCACGUGUAGCAGUGAAAUGCGUAGAGAUGUGGAGGAACACCAAUGGCGAAGGCAGCCCCCUGGGUCGAUACUGACGCUCAUGCACGAAAGCGUGGGUAGCAAACAGGAUUAGAUACCCUGGUAGUCCACGCCCUAAACGAUGUCAACUAGGUGUUGGGAGGGUAAAACCUUUUAGUACCGGAGCUAACGCGUGAAGUUGACCGCCUGGGGAGUACGGCCGCAAGGUUAAAACUCAAAGGAAUUGACGGGGACCCGCACAAGCGGUGGAUGAUGUGGAUUAAUUCGAUGCAACGCGAAAAACCUUACCUACCCUUGACAUGCCAAGAACUUUCCAGAGAUGGAUUGGUGCCCGAAAGGGAACUUGGACACAGGUGCUGCAUGGCUGUCGUCAGCACGUGUCGUGAGAUGUUGGGUUAAGUCCCGCAACGAGCGCAACCCUUGUCGUUAAUUGCCAUCAUUUAGUUGGGCACUUUAACGAGACUGCCGGUGACAAACCGGAGGAAGGUGGGGAUGACGUCAAGUCCUCAUGGCCCUUAUGGGUAGGGCUUCACACGUCAUACAAUGGUCGGUACAAAGGGUCGCCAAGCCGCGAGGUGGAGCCAAUCCCAGAAAGCCGAUCGUAGUCCGGAUCGCAGUCUGCAACUCGACUGCGUGAAGUCGGAAUCGCUAGUAAUUGUGGAUCAGAAUGUCACGGUGAAUACGUUCCCGGGUCUUGUACACACCGCCCGUCACACCAUGGGAGCGGGUUCCGCCAGAAGUAGGUAGCCUAACCGCAAGGAGGGCGCUUACCACGGCGGGGUUCGUGACUGGGGUGAAGUCGAAACAAGGUAGCCGUAGGGGAACCUGCGGCUG